Molecule: ribosomal RNA, 280 nt
Filed under: uncultured bacterium
Lineage: Bacteria
Description: partial 16S ribosomal RNA
Rfam family: Bacterial small subunit ribosomal RNA
Source: RNAcentral
UGUUCCCUACGGGGGGCAGCAGUGAGGAAUAUUGGUCAAUGGGCGGGAGCCUGAACCAGCCAAGUCGCGUGAGGGAAGACGGUCCUAUGGAUUGUAAACCUCUUUAGGCGGGGAGCAAUGCCGGGCACGCGUGCCCGGAGGGAGAGUACCCGCAGAAUAAGCAUCGGCUAACUCCGUGCCAGCAGCCGCGGUAAUACGAAGGAUGCGCGCGUUAUCCGGAUUUAUUGGGUUUAAAGGGUGGGUAGGCGGAUUUUUAAGUCAGCGGUAAAAUGUGCGGUCU